AAUGAACGCUGGCGGUGUGCUUAACACAUGCAAGUCGAACGAGAAAGUCCCUUCGGGGACUAGUAUAGUGGCGAACGGGUGCGUAACGCGUAAGAAUCUACCCUUUAGUGAAGAAUACCCUCGAGAAAUCGAGGUUAAUACUGCAUACGUCUCUACGGAGAGAAAGGUGGCCUCUUGCUACCGCUGAAGGAUGAGCUUGCGUACUAUUAGCUAGUUGGUGAGGUAAAUGCUCGACCAAGGCUUUGAUGGUUAGCCGGCCUGAGAGGGUGACCGGCCACAUUGGGACUGAGAUACGGCCCAGACUCCUACGGGAGGCUG
RNAcentral lists this ribosomal RNA (318 nucleotides) under uncultured bacterium. RNAcentral describes it as "bacterial SSU rRNA". It matches the Rfam family "Bacterial small subunit ribosomal RNA", at positions 29 to 351 of the family's 1533-position model. The record is from RNAcentral.